CCUACGGGGGGCAGCAGUGAGGAAUAUUGGUCAAUGGACGAGAGUCUGAACCAGCCAAGUAGCGUGAAGGAUGACUGCCCUAUGGGUUGUAAACUUCUUUUAUAUGGGAAUAAAACGUUCCACGUGUGGGAUUUUGUAUGUACCAUAUUAAUAAGGAUCGGCUAACUCCGUGCCAGCAGCCGCGGUAAUACGGAGGAUCCGAGCGUUAUCCGGAUUUAUUGGGGUUAAAGGGAGCGUAGGUGGAUUGUUAAGUCAGUUGUGAAAGUUUGCGGCUCAACCGUAAAAUUGCAGUUGAAACUGGCAGUCUUGAGUACAGUAGAGGUGGGCGGAAUUCGUGGUGUAGCGGUGAAAUGCUUAGAUAUCACGAAGAACUCCGAUUGCGAAGGCAGUUCACUGGACUGCAACUGACACUGAGGCUCGAAAGUGUGGGUAUCAAACAGGAUUAGAUACCCGAGUAGUC
RNAcentral lists this ribosomal RNA (460 nucleotides) under uncultured bacterium. RNAcentral describes it as "partial 16S ribosomal RNA". It matches the Rfam family "Bacterial small subunit ribosomal RNA", at positions 338 to 795 of the family's 1533-position model. The record is from RNAcentral.